UGGGGAAUCUUAGACAAUGGGCGCAAGCCUGAUCUAGCCAUGCCGCGUGAGUGACGAAGGUCUUAGGAUCGUAAAGCUCUUUCGCCAGAGAUGAUAAUGACAGUAUCUGGUAAAGAAACCCCGGCUAACUCCGUGCCAGCAGCCGCGGUAAUACGGAGGGGGUUAGCGUUGUUCGGAAUUACUGGGCGUAAAGCGUACGUAGGCGGAUUGGAAAGUAGGGGGUGAAAUCCCAGGGCUCAACCCUGGAACUGCCUCCUAAACUAUCAGUCUAGAGUUCGAGAGAGGUGAGUGGAAUUCCAAGUGUAGAGGUGAAAUUCGUAGAUAUUUGGAGGAACACCAGUGGCGAAGGCGGCUCACUGGCUCGAUACUGACGCUGAGGUACGAAAGUGUGGGGAGCAAACAGGAUUAGAUACCCUGGUAGUCCACACCGUAAACGAUGAAUGCCAGUCGUCGGGGAGCUUGCUCUUCGGUGACACACCUAAC
RNAcentral lists this ribosomal RNA (483 nucleotides) under uncultured marine bacterium. RNAcentral describes it as "bacterial SSU rRNA". It matches the Rfam family "Bacterial small subunit ribosomal RNA", at positions 355 to 856 of the family's 1533-position model. The record is from RNAcentral.